This 253-nucleotide ribosomal RNA is filed under the name uncultured bacterium. RNAcentral's name for it is "partial 16S ribosomal RNA". It matches the Rfam family "Bacterial small subunit ribosomal RNA", at positions 524 to 776 of the family's 1533-position model. The record is from RNAcentral.
UACAGAGGGUGCGAGCGUUGUUCGGAAUUACUGGGCGUAAAGAGCAUGUAGGCGGUUUAGUAAGUCAGAUGUGAAAUCUCGGGGCUCAACCUCGAACGUGCAUUUGAAACUACUAGACUCGAGUAUGGUAGAGGAUUGUGGAAUACCCAGUGUAGAGGUGAAAUUCGUAGAUAUUGGGUAGAACACCGGUGGCGAAGGCGGCAAUCUGGGCCAUAACUGACGCUGAGAUGCGAAAGCGUGGGGAGCAAACAGG